CGAAACUUUGCUGGCUAUUUUAGUUCUUAUGUUAUUGUGUUAAGUGUCAAGUUUUUUUGAAGCAAUUUUAUACUCUAAAUAUUUUGUGUUGUAUGUCUAUUAAAAUUUCUAUCAUAUAUAAAGCUAUGGUGUUCUGAUUGUGAAUGAGUACGAUAGUUUUGUUCAAGAUUCACCAUGAAAUUCCUAGCAACAUUGUUUGCCAUUAUGGCCGUCGUUUUUGCUGUUGUGGGUGGCAUGGCUUUCACCCCUAAUACCCAAUCCGGCAUCAAGGAACAUCAGCAUUCAGCUGGGUGUGGAAAUAAUUCCCCUCCACCCCCACCACCACCACCUGCUACUAACAGUACCAGAUAAGUGACGAGUGAAUAAAUUUCAGACAAACAGACCUACAACGUUGGCUUCAUUAACAACACUAAUAAAUCUAUGCACAUAUAAA
Long non-coding RNA from Melitaea cinxia (Glanville fritillary), 433 nucleotides. RefSeq lists it as uncharacterized. The record is from RefSeq and is a predicted model, not a curated record. The transcript has 3 exons. Lineage: Eukaryota; Metazoa; Arthropoda; Insecta; Lepidoptera; Nymphalidae.